This 480-nucleotide ribosomal RNA is filed under the name uncultured bacterium. RNAcentral describes it as "bacterial SSU rRNA". It matches the Rfam family "Bacterial small subunit ribosomal RNA", at positions 30 to 528 of the family's 1533-position model. The record is from RNAcentral.
AUUGAACGCUGGCGGCAUGCUUUACACAUGCAAGUCGAACGGCAGCACGGGUGCUUGCACCUGGUGACGAGUGGCGGACGGGUGAGUAAUACAUCGAAACGUGUCCUGAAGUAGGGGAUAACGCAUCGAAAGAUGUGCUAAUACCGCAUAUACUCUGAAAAGGAAAGUAGAAGAUCGAAAGACCUUAUGCUUUUGGAGCAGCCGAUGUCUGAUUAGCUAGUUAGUAAGGUAAUGGCUUACCAAAGGCAACGAUCAGUAGUUGGUCUGAGAGGACGGCCAGCCACACUGGGACUGAGACACGGCCCAGACUCCUACGGGAGCAGCAGUGGGGAAUAUUGCACAAUGGGGGAAACCUGAUGCAGCGAUGCCGCGUGGAGGAAGAAGGUUUUCGGAUUGUAAACUCCUGUCUUCAGGACGAUAAUGACGUACCUGAGGAGGAAGCACCGGCUAACUACGUGCCAGCAGCCGCGGUAAGCUCGU